UCGACUGCACGGGCGCACUUAAAAACGAAUGACGGCUCACUUGACCACGCGAAGACGAAUGACGGCUCACUUGACCGCAGUGCAAAACGCCCAGGAUUUUUUACAACGAGCGCAUUGCUACCACCGGUUAGUGGACUUAUUGAGGACGCCGGCUAUAUCUGGACCCAGUGCACGGUAAUGUUGAUAUGAGUGUAAAACUGCCCCCAGCUAUAGCCACUCAUGUUGCGCCUAUUGCACAUUGUAGACAUAUAGUUAUAGGAGCCCCUUCUGCUCGGUGAGUGUUUAGUUCUGUGAGCACAGAACAUAUAAUACACAUAGUUACACUUUCUCAAAAACACCCUAGUCACACGAACAUGACCUGAUCUGGACUUGUUCACAUAUACUUGUUGAAGCAGUCACACACACACACACCCUCACAAACGGCCUUGGGUAAGUCACUACCAACACACAUCCUCACAAACGGCCUUGGAUAUCAUGCACUCACUCCCCCUAACUUCUGCCUCCUGUUUCUCAUGCUACAUUGACGCACACACAAAUAAGGCGGCGACUCAUCUGAAGACUAUAUAGGAUAACACCCCUAGACAUGAGCAGACUCUUCUUGUACACGACAUUGAUACAUGUACUGUACUUGAACUAUUCUCCGCACUUUGCAAACUGCGCAAUAAAUCUGUAUAAUUCUUA
Solea solea (common sole) is the source of this 681-nucleotide long non-coding RNA. RefSeq lists it as uncharacterized. NCBI's taxonomy places the organism in Eukaryota, Metazoa, Chordata, Actinopteri, Pleuronectiformes, Soleidae. The record is from RefSeq and is a predicted model, not a curated record. The transcript has 2 exons.